Molecule: ribosomal RNA, 613 nt
Filed under: Escherichia coli
Lineage: Bacteria; Pseudomonadati; Pseudomonadota; Gammaproteobacteria; Enterobacterales; Enterobacteriaceae
Description: partial 23S ribosomal RNA
Rfam family: Bacterial large subunit ribosomal RNA
Source: RNAcentral
AGUAACGAUAAAGCGGGUGAAAAGCCCGCUCGCCGGAAGACCAAGGGUUCCUGUCCAACGUUAAUCGGGGCAGGGUGAGUCGACCCCUAAGGCGAGGCCGAAAGGCGUAGUCGAUGGGAAACAGGUUAAUAUUCCUGUACUUGGUGUUACUGCGAAGGGGGGACGGAGAAGGCUAUGUUGGCCGGGCGACGGUUGUCCCGGUUUAAGCGUGUAGGCUGGUUUUCCAGGCAAAUCCGGAAAAUCAAGGCUGAGGCGUGAUGACGAGGCACUACGGUGCUGAAGCAACAAAUGCCCUGCUUCCAGGAAAAGCCUCUAAGCAUCAGGUAACAUCAAAUCGUACCCCAAACCGACACAGGUGGUCAGGUAGAGAAUACCAAGGCGCUUGAGAGAACUCGGGUGAAGGAACUAGGCAAAAUGGUGCCGUAACUUCGGGAGAAGGCACGCUGAUAUGUAGGUGAAGUCCCUCGCGGAUGGAGCUGAAAUCAGUCGAAGAUACCAGCUGGCUGCAACUGUUUAUUAAAAACACAGCACUGUGCAAACACGAAAGUGGACGUAUACGGUGUGACGCCUGCCCGGUGCCGGAAGGUUAAUUGAUGGGGUCAGCGCAAGCGAA